UACGUAGGGUGCGAGCGUUGUCCGGAAUUAUUGGGCGUAAAGAGCUCGUAGGCGGUGUGUCACGUCGGCCGUGAAAACUUGCAGCUUAACUGUGGGCGUGCGGUCGAUACGGGCAUCACUGGAGUUCGGCAGGGGAGACUGGAAUUCCUGGUGUAGCGGUGAAAUGCGCAGAUAUCAGGAGGAACACCGGUGGCGAAGGCGGGUCUCUGGGCCGAUGCUGACGCUGAGGAGCGAAAGCGUGGGGAGCAAACAGG
This 254-nucleotide ribosomal RNA is filed under the name uncultured bacterium. RNAcentral describes it as "partial 16S ribosomal RNA". It matches the Rfam family "Bacterial small subunit ribosomal RNA", at positions 524 to 776 of the family's 1533-position model. The record is from RNAcentral.